This 17-nucleotide small RNA is filed under the name Arabidopsis thaliana (thale cress). Its description in RNAcentral is "ATSL135150". Lineage: Eukaryota; Viridiplantae; Streptophyta; Magnoliopsida; Brassicales; Brassicaceae. The record is from RNAcentral.
AAUAAUAUGGGAAGGUA